This 85-nucleotide non-coding RNA is filed under the name uncultured Eubacterium sp. Its description in RNAcentral is "Cyclic di-GMP-I riboswitch". It matches the Rfam family "c-di-GMP-I riboswitch aptamer", at positions 12 to 83 of the family's 87-position model. Rfam says of the family: GEMM was predicted in a large-scale screen for bacterial structured RNA regulatory elements. Genes associated with GEMM are involved in a diverse array of functions, including chemotaxis regulation, signal transduction, secretion and chitin. Lineage: Bacteria; Bacillati; Bacillota; Clostridia; Eubacteriales; Eubacteriaceae. The record is from RNAcentral.
GAAUUCGGCAAAAUCAGGGAAACCUGAUGACGCAAAACUACAGGAUCUGAAAGCUUGGAAAAAGUGAGUAUGAUAGCCAGUUGCA